GUCCACGCCGUAAACUAUGGAUACUAGCUGUUACCAGUAUCGACCCUGGUAGUAGCGAAGCUAACGCGUUAAGUAUCCCGCCUGUGGAGUACGGUCGCAAGACUAAAACAUAAAGGAAUUGACGGGGACCCGCACAAGCGGUGGAGCGUGUUGUUUAAUUCGAUGCUAAGCGAAGAACCUUACCCAGGCUUGACAUCCUUGGAAUUUUGCGAAAGCAGAAAGUGCCUUUUGGAACCAAGUGACAGGUGUUGCAUGGCCGUCGU
RNAcentral lists this ribosomal RNA (263 nucleotides) under uncultured bacterium. RNAcentral describes it as "partial 16S ribosomal RNA". It matches the Rfam family "Bacterial small subunit ribosomal RNA", at positions 793 to 1055 of the family's 1533-position model. The record is from RNAcentral.